RNAcentral lists this ribosomal RNA (1123 nucleotides) under uncultured bacterium. RNAcentral describes it as "bacterial SSU rRNA". It matches the Rfam family "Bacterial small subunit ribosomal RNA", at positions 46 to 1162 of the family's 1533-position model. The record is from RNAcentral.
AUUGAUUUUAUGCUUGCAUGAAUGAUUUUUGUAUUCGGAGCGAGUGGCGAACUGGUGAGUAACACGUGGGUAACCUGCCCCGAAGCGGGGGAUAACAUUUGGAAACAAGUGCUAAUACCGCAUAAUUAGUUGGAACCGCAUGGUUCCAACUUGAAAGAUGGCUCUGCUAUCACUUUGGGAUGGACCCGCGCCGUAUUAGUUAGUUGGUGAGAUAAAAGCCCACCAAGACGAUGAUACGUAGCCGACCUGAGAGGGUAAUCGGCCACAUUGGGACUGAGACACGGCCCAGACUCCUACGGGAGGCAGCAGUAGGGAAUCUUCCACAAUGGACGAAAGUCUGAUGGAGCAACGCCGCGUGAGUGAUGAAGGUUUUCGGAUCGUAAAACUCUGUUGUUAAAGAAGAACAAGUGUCAGAGUAACUGUUAACACUUUGACGGUAUUUAACCAGAAAGCCACGGCUAACUACGUGCCAGCAGCCGCGGUAAUACGUAGGUGGCAAGCGUUGUCCGGAUUUAUUGGGCGUAAAGCGAGCGCAGGCGGUUUUGUAAGUCUGCUGUGAAAGCCCUCAGCUCAACUGAGGAAGUGCAGUGGAAACUACAAAACUUGAGUACAGAAGAGGAAAGUGGAACUCCAUGUGUAGCGGUGAAAUGCGUAGAUAUAUGGAAGAACACCAGUGGCGAAGGCGGCUUUCUGGUCUGUUACUGACGCUGAGGCUCGAAAGCAUGGGUAGCGAACAGGAUUAGAUACCCUGGUAGUCCAUGCCGUAAACGAUGAAUACUAGGUGUUGGAGGGUUUCCGCCCUUCAGUGCCGCAGCUAACGCAUUAAGUAUUCCGCCUGGGGAGUACGACCGCAAGGUUGAAACUCAAAGGAAUUGACGGGGGCCCGCACAAGUGGUGGAGCAUGUGGUUUAAUUCGAUGCUACGCGAAGAACCUUACCAGCUCUUGACAUCUUCUGCCAACCCAAGAGAUUGGGCGUUCCCUUCGGGGACAGAAUGACAGGUGGUGCAUGGUUGUCGUCAGCUCGUGUCGUGAGAUGUUGGGUUAAGUCCCGCAACGAGCGCAACCCUUAUUAUUAGUUGCCAGCAUUUAGUUGGGCACUCUAGUGAGACUGCCGGUGAUAAA